GAUGAACGCUGGCGGCGUGCCUAAUACAUGCAAGUCGAGCGAACGGACGAGAAGCUUGCUUCUCUGAUGUUAGCGGCGGACGGGUGAGUAACACGUGGAUAACCUACCUAUAAGACUGGGAUAACUUCGGGAAACCGGAGCUAAUACCGGAUAAUAUUUUGAACCGCAUGGUUCAAAAGUGAAAGACGGUCUUGCUGUCACUUAUAGAUGGAUCCGCGCUGCAUUAGCUAGUUGGUAAGGUAACGGCUUACCAAGGCAACGAUGCAUAGCCGACCUGAGAGGGUGAUCGGCCACACUGGAACUGAGACACGGUCCAGACUCUUACGGGAGGCAGCAGUAGGGAAUCUUCCGCAAUGGGCGAAAGCCUGACGGAGCAACGCCGCGUGAGUGAUGAAGGUCUUCGGAUCGUAAAACUCUGUUAUUAGGGAAGAACAUAUGUGUAAGUAACUGUGCACAUCUUGACGGUACCUAAGCAGAAAGCCACGGCUAACUACGU
Molecule: ribosomal RNA, 496 nt
Filed under: uncultured bacterium
Lineage: Bacteria
Description: partial 16S ribosomal RNA
Rfam family: Bacterial small subunit ribosomal RNA
Source: RNAcentral